RNAcentral lists this transfer RNA (75 nucleotides) under Aeromonas jandaei. RNAcentral's name for it is "tRNA-Trp". It matches the Rfam family "tRNA". Rfam says of the family: Transfer RNA (tRNA) molecules are approximately 80 nucleotides in length. Their secondary structure includes four short double-helical elements and three loops (D, anti-codon, and T loops). Further hydrogen bonds mediate the characteristic L-shaped molecular structure. tRNAs have two regions of fundamental functional importance: the anti-codon, which is responsible for specific mRNA codon recognition, and the 3' end, to which the tRNAs corresponding amino acid is attached (by aminoacyl-tRNA synthetases). tRNAs cope with the degeneracy of the genetic code in two manners: having more than one tRNA (with a specific anti-codon) for a particular amino acid; and 'wobble' base-pairing, i.e. permitting non-standard base-pairing at the 3rd anti-codon position. Lineage: Bacteria; Pseudomonadati; Pseudomonadota; Gammaproteobacteria; Aeromonadales; Aeromonadaceae. The record is from RNAcentral.
GGGGCGUAGUUCGAAUUGGUAGAACAGCGGUCUCCAAAACCGAUGGUUGCGGGUUCGAGUCCUGCCGCCCUGCCA